Molecule: ribosomal RNA, 744 nt
Filed under: uncultured bacterium
Lineage: Bacteria
Description: bacterial SSU rRNA
Rfam family: Bacterial small subunit ribosomal RNA
Source: RNAcentral
AGAGUUUGAUCAUGGCUCAGAGCGAACGCUGGCGGCAGGCUUAACACAUGCAAGUCGAGCGGGCGUAGCAAUACGUCAGCGGCAGACGGGUGAGUAACGCGUGGGAACGUACCUUUUGGUUCGGAACAACACAGGGAAACUUGUGCUAAUACCGGAUAAGCCCUUACGGGGAAAGAUUUAUCGCCGAAAGAUCGGCCCGCGUCUGAUUAGCUAGUUGGUGAGGUAAUGGCUCACCAAGGCGACGAUCAGUAGCUGGUCUGAGAGGAUGAUCAGCCACAUUGGGACUGAGACACGGCCCAAACUCCUACGGGAGGCAGCAGUGGGGAAUAUUGGACAAUGGGCGCAAGCCUGAUCCAGCCAUGCCGCGUGAGUGAUGAAGGCCCUAGGGUUGUAAAGCUCUUUUGUGCGGGAAGAUAAUGACGGUACCGCAAGAAUAAGCCCCGGCUAACUUCGUGCCAGCAGCCGCGGUAAUACGAAGGGGGCUAGCGUUGCUCGGAAUCACUGGGCGUAAAGGGUGCGUAGGCGGGUCUUUAAGUCAGGGGUGAAAUCCUGGAGCUCAACUCCAGAACUGCCUUUGAUACUGAAGAUCUUGAGUUCGGGAGAGGUGAGUGGAACUGCGAGUGUAGAGGUGAAAUUCGUAGAUAUUCGCAAGAACACCAGUGGCGAAGGCGACUUCCUGGACCAAUACUGACACUCAAGUGCGAAAGCGUGGGGAGCAAACAGGAUUAGAUACCCUAGUAGUCC